GAUAAUAUUUGUUGGUUUUAAGUUUCCAUGGGGAAGGCCCCUAUCGUGAAGGUAUAACAGACAGCGAGCAACUUCCACGGCAAUUUUUAGUCUCUGACUGAAUGAUAACCGAGAAUACCUUCGAGGUGUAGUUUCCUUCAUGGAAAUCUGACCUAUUGAUAAUAAUAGAGGCUCUCAAAAGUGUUUCGGAAGAGGUCCCAUUCUAGGCUUCAAUGAUACACAACCGAAAACAAGAGGUUUGGCUUCAGUUUAUCAAGAAAAACUAUU
Molecule: unclassified non-coding RNA, 267 nt
Filed under: Hevea brasiliensis (rubber tree)
Lineage: Eukaryota; Viridiplantae; Streptophyta; Magnoliopsida; Malpighiales; Euphorbiaceae
Source: RNAcentral